UGGGGAAUUUUCCGCAAUGGGCGAAAGGCCUGACGGAGCAAUGCCGCGUGGAGGUGGAAGGCCUACGGGUCGUCAACUUCUUUUCUCGGAGAAGAAACAAUGACGGUAUCUGAGGAAUAAGCAUCGGCUAACUCUGUGCCAG
Molecule: ribosomal RNA, 142 nt
Filed under: uncultured bacterium
Lineage: Bacteria
Description: partial 16S rRNA
Rfam family: Bacterial small subunit ribosomal RNA
Source: RNAcentral